GACGAACGCUGGCGGCGUGCUUAACACAUGCAAGUCGAGCGAGGCCCGCCCUUCGGGGCGGUGUCCUAGCGGCGAACGGGUGAGUAACACGUGGGCAACCUGCCCUCAGCUCUGGGAUAACUCCGGGAAACCGGUGCUAAUACCGGAUACGACCUGUGACGACAUCGUCACUGGUGGAAAGUUUUUCGGCUGAGGAUGGGCCCGCGGCCUAUCAGCUAGUUGGUGGGGUCAAGGCCUACCAAGGCGACGACGGGUAGCCGGCCUGAGAGGGCGAUCGGCCACACUGGGACUGAGACACGGCCCAGACUCCUACGGGAGGCAGCAGUGGGGAAUCUUGCGCAAUGGGCGAAAGCCUGACGCAGCGACGCCGCGUGAGGGAUGAAGGCCUUCGGGUUGUAAACCUCUUUCAGCUCCGACGAAGCGAAAGUGACGGUAGGAGCAGAAGAAGCACCGGCCAACUACGUGCCAGCAGCCGCCGUA
This 480-nucleotide ribosomal RNA is filed under the name uncultured bacterium. RNAcentral describes it as "bacterial SSU rRNA". It matches the Rfam family "Bacterial small subunit ribosomal RNA", at positions 28 to 522 of the family's 1533-position model. The record is from RNAcentral.